RNAcentral lists this long non-coding RNA (136 nucleotides) under Cervus hanglu yarkandensis (Yarkand deer). RNAcentral's name for it is "lncRNA (ENSCHYG00000004353.1)". The record is from RNAcentral. Lineage: Eukaryota; Metazoa; Chordata; Mammalia; Artiodactyla; Cervidae.
GCAGGCGUGCGGGGGGCGGCGGCGCCCAAGCGGACACGGAGCCGGUCAGCAGCAGCCGCGGCGGCGCUGCAGGGACGAGCGCCCAGGGUCGGUCUGGGGUUCUAGCAGCCACAGCUGCGAGCUCUCCCGGCCCCGC